Molecule: ribosomal RNA, 330 nt
Filed under: uncultured eukaryote
Lineage: Eukaryota
Description: partial 18S ribosomal RNA
Rfam family: Eukaryotic small subunit ribosomal RNA
Source: RNAcentral
CCCUUAGAUGUUCUGGGCUGCACGCGCGCUACACUGAAGCGUUCAACGAGUAUUCACCUUGCCCGGGAGGGUUGGGUAAUCUUUUGAAAACGCUUCGUGAUGGGGAUAGAUUAUUGCAAUUAUUAAUCUUCAACGAGGAAUUCCUAGUAAGCGCGAGUCAUCAGCUCGUGCUGAUUACGUCCCUGCCCUUUGUACACACCGCCCGUCGCUCCUACCGAUUGAAUGGUCCGGUGAAAAUUUCGGAUAGUGGCGAUGCUGGCGGUUCGCCGCCGGCGCUGCCGCUAGAAGAUCUUUAAACCUUAUCAUUUAGAGGAAGGAGAAGUCGUANCA